Molecule: ribosomal RNA, 302 nt
Filed under: uncultured bacterium
Lineage: Bacteria
Description: partial 16S ribosomal RNA
Rfam family: Bacterial small subunit ribosomal RNA
Source: RNAcentral
GGGGAAUAUUGCACAAUGGGCGAAAGCCUGAUGCAGCGACGCCGCGUGCGGGAUGAAGGCCUUCGGGUUGUAAACCGCUUUUGAUUGGGGAGCAAGCGAGAGUGAGUGUACCUUUCGAAUAAGCACCGGCUAACUACGUGCCAGCAGCCGCGGUAAUACGUAGGGUGCAAGCGUUAUCCGGAAUUAUUGGGCGUAAAGAGCUCGUAGGCGGUUUGUCGCGUCUGGUGUGAAAGUCCAUCGCUUAACGGUGGAUCUGCGCCGGGUACGGGGCAGGCUAGAGUGCGACAGGGGGAGACUGGAAU